GAAACGACUGCUAAGACUGGAUAGGAAAAGUAAAGGCAUCUUUACUUUUUUAAAAGACCUUCUUUGAAGGUAUACUUAAGGAGGGGCUUGCGACACAUUAGUUAGUUGGCAGGGUAAAGGCCUACCAAGACUAUGAUGUGUAGCUGGACUGAGAGGUUGAACAGCCACAUUGGGACUGAGACACGGCCCAAACUCCUACGGGAGGCAGCAGUAGGGAAUUUUCGGCAAUGGAGGAAACUCUGACCGAGCAACGCCGCGUGAACGAUGAAGUACCUCGGUAUGUAAAGUUCUUUUAUUAAGGAAGAAAAAAGAGUGGAAAAACUCCCUUGACGGUACUUAAUGAAUAAGCCCCGGCUAAUUAUGUGCCAGCAGCCGCGGUAAUACAUAAGGGGCGAGCGUUAUCCGGAAUUAUUGGGCGUAAAGGGUGCGUAGGCGGUUUAAUAAGUCUAUAGUUUAAUUUCAGCGCUUAACGCUGUUGUGCUAUAGAAACUGUUUUACUAGAGUGAGUUAGAGGCAAGCGGAAUUCCAUGUGUAGCGGUAAAAUGCGUAAAUAUAUGGAGGAACACCAGAGGCGUAGGCGGCUUGCUGGGACUUUACUGACGCUGAGGCACGAAAGCGUGGGGAGCAAACAGGAUUAGAUACCCUGGUAGUCCACGCCGUAAACGAUGAGUACUAAGUGUCGGGUAAAACCGGUACUGAAGUUAACACAUUAAGUACUCCGCCUGAGUAGUACGUACGCAAGUAUGAAACUUAAAGGAAUUGACGGGACUCCGCACAAGCGGUGGAUCAUGUUGUUUAAUUCGAAGAUACACGAAAAACCUUACCAGGUCUUGACAUUUUCUUGCGAAGUUAUAGAAAUAUAAUGGAGGUUAUCAGGAAAACAGGUGGUGCAUGGUUGUCGUCAGCUCGUGUCGUGAGAUGUUAGGUUAAGUCCUAAAACGAGCGCAACCCUUGUCGUUAAUUGCCAGCAUAUAAUGAUGGGGACUUUAACGAGACUGCCAAUGAAAAAUUGGAGGAAGGUGGGGAUUACGUCAAAUCAUCAUGCCCCUUAUGAUCUGGGCUACAAACGUGAUACAAUGGUUGAUACAAAGAGUAGCUGAAACGCGAGUUCUUAGCCAAUCUCACAAAAUCAAUCUCAGUUCGGAUUGAAGUCUGCAACUCGACUUCAUGAAGUUGGAAUCGCUAGUAAUCGCGAAUCAGCAUGUCGCGGUGAAUACGUUCUCGGGGUUUGUACACACCGCCCGUCA
RNAcentral lists this ribosomal RNA (1247 nucleotides) under 'Beta vulgaris var. cicla' phytoplasma. RNAcentral describes it as "bacterial SSU rRNA". It matches the Rfam family "Bacterial small subunit ribosomal RNA", at positions 153 to 1399 of the family's 1533-position model. The record is from RNAcentral. Lineage: Bacteria; Bacillati; Mycoplasmatota; Mollicutes; Acholeplasmatales; Acholeplasmataceae.